Molecule: ribosomal RNA, 284 nt
Filed under: Neglectibacter timonensis
Lineage: Bacteria; Bacillati; Bacillota; Clostridia; Eubacteriales; Oscillospiraceae
Description: partial 16S ribosomal RNA
Rfam family: Bacterial small subunit ribosomal RNA
Source: RNAcentral
UCUUUUCAUUGUGUGCCAGCCGCCGCGGUAAUACGUAGGGAGCAAGCGUUGUCCGGAUUUACUGGGUGUAAAGGGUGCGUAGGCGGAUUGGCAAGUCAGAAGUGAAAUCCAUGGGCUUAACCCAUGAACUGCUUUUGAAACUGUUAGUCUUGAGUGAAGUAGAGGUAGGCGGAAUUCCCGGUGUAGCGGUGAAAUGCGUAGAGAUCGGGAGGAACACCAGUGGCGAAGGCGGCCUACUGGGCUUUAACUGACGCUGAGGCACGAAAGUGUGGGUAGCAAACAGG